UGGGGAAACCCAGUGUGACUCGUCACACUAUCAUUAACUGAAUCCAUAGGUUAAUGAGGCGAACCGGGGGAACUGAAACAUCUAAGUACCCCGAGGAAAAGAAAUCAACCGAGAUUCCCCCAGUAGCGGCGAGCGAACGGGGAGGAGCCCAGAGCCUGAAUCAGCAUGUGUGUUAGUGGAAGCGUCUGGAAAGGCGCGCGAUACAGGGUGACAGCCCCGUACACAAAAGCGCAUGUGCUGUGAGCUCGAUGAGUAGGGCGGGACACGUGGUAUCCUGUCUGAAUAUGGGGGGACCAUCCUCCAAGGCUAAAUACUCCUGACUGACCGAUAGUGAACCAGUACCGUGAGGGAAAGGCGAAAAGAACCCCGGCGAGGGGAGUGAAAAAGAACCUGAAACCGUGUACGUACAAGCAGUGGGAGCCCCACCACUAAGCCAGUGGUGAACUCCACAUACGCAUCCUUUGCUGAGGAUACGGUUAACGGAGCGCAAGCGACGUUCAACCGCAAAAGAAGCAGAGGGGGCUUAGUGGUGGGGUGACUGCGUACCUUUUGUAUAAUGGGUCAGCGACUUAUAUUCUGUAGCAAGGUUAACCGAAUAGGGGAGCCGGAGGGAAACCGAGUCUUAACCGGGCGUUAAGUUGCAGGGUAUAGACCCGAAACCCGGUGAUCUAGCCAUGGGCAGGUUGAAGGUUGG
RNAcentral lists this ribosomal RNA (694 nucleotides) under Salmonella enterica. RNAcentral describes it as "partial 23S ribosomal RNA". It matches the Rfam family "Bacterial large subunit ribosomal RNA", at positions 119 to 755 of the family's 2925-position model. The record is from RNAcentral. Lineage: Bacteria; Pseudomonadati; Pseudomonadota; Gammaproteobacteria; Enterobacterales; Enterobacteriaceae.